GCUGGGCAUGGUGGUGCAUGCCUGUAAUUCCAGUGGCUCAGAAGGCUGAGGCAGGAGGAUCUCGAGUUCAAAGCUGGCUUCAGCAACUUAGUGAGGCCCUAAGCAACUCAGUAUUGCUGGGCAUGUGGCUUGGUGCUAAAUGAUCCUAAGUU
Molecule: small RNA, 152 nt
Filed under: Marmota monax (woodchuck)
Lineage: Eukaryota; Metazoa; Chordata; Mammalia; Rodentia; Sciuridae
Source: RNAcentral